CCUCAGGUAAGCUAAAAUAGAAGCUGUUGGGCCCAUAACCCAAAAAUGGUUUGAACCCCUUAGGA
This 65-nucleotide transfer RNA is filed under the name Myosotella myosotis (mouse ear snail). RNAcentral's name for it is "tRNA-Met". The record is from RNAcentral. Lineage: Eukaryota; Metazoa; Mollusca; Gastropoda; Ellobiida; Ellobiidae.